Aquila chrysaetos chrysaetos is the source of this 863-nucleotide long non-coding RNA. RefSeq lists it as uncharacterized. Lineage: Eukaryota; Metazoa; Chordata; Aves; Accipitriformes; Accipitridae. The record is from RefSeq and is a predicted model, not a curated record. The transcript has 2 exons.
UCCAGCUCAGUAUCAAAUCACCUGAUAAUCUUUUUUGUUUUCAACUAGAAGUAAAUUGUCUACUGAAUUUCCUAUAGACUCAUGAAUAAAGGUACUGUGAAAAUAACCGCUACAAUCACUCUAAGCUAUAUUCACCAAGCCAGUCUUCCCUGCUGCAAAAUUCAGCAUCCUCAAAAAGCCUUUCUUCCACAACAGCCAAGCACAGAACACUAAAGCUACAUAGUUAAGUUUGCAAUUUCUGGUCUUCCUGGAGAGCAUUGAGACUUACUUGGUUUUUUUUCAGAAAGCACGCAUGAAGGGUAUUCCCAGAGGAGAAAGUUUGAAAGUGAUAUAUGGAAACUACAGCUAAGCACAUAAGCUCAAGCAGGAAAUGCCUGAAAAUAGGUACGGCUUAAGAACUACAAAUGGAUGAUGACAUGAAAAAUAAAGCAAGAGGAAUACACAGAUCUUUUCAUAAUAUUUGAUUGUGCUCAGAGGAUAUUGGCCUGAUCCAAUGAUCUGGAUUUCCCUCACACUGGAAUCAUGAUGUAUGUUGUCUUAGCUGAAAAAAAAUGACAUCAGAUCAAAAGAACAGACAGAUGAAAAAGAAGUUAAGAGCGAAAAACCUGGGAGAGAAUUCAAGCUCAGCAAUGCUGCCUGUAAUGUCUGUAAUCCAGGAGAGAAAAAGCAUCAGUGAUAGAACCAAGGUAAGAACAAGAAAGCAGCCUACAGCUGGACAUCAAACAACUGCUAUAAAGGCACAGAACUGUUUUUAUUUCAAAUCAAAAAGCCACUUAACUAAGAGAAAAGAAGAAUUUUAAGAGAAAAAAAAAUCAGAACACAACAGAGACAAAGAGCAAGGUGGGAAAAAAAAUAAAAACAAC